Molecule: long non-coding RNA, 1105 nt
Filed under: Rosa chinensis
Lineage: Eukaryota; Viridiplantae; Streptophyta; Magnoliopsida; Rosales; Rosaceae
Source: RNAcentral
GAUCCAGUGAGGAAGCAUACCCAAAUUGAUAGGAAGUGCCGUAUGACACUUUAAACAGCGGCGGCUACAUGGAACGAGCCACCCCUUGUGCCCAUCCACCGGUGAGUAUUAGUUACUCAUCGGUCGGGAACAGAGGUGGCUCCGGUGUGCCGCCGUGUGUGUGAUUUGGAACGGGACUCUGAGGGUCAUCUUCUUAACUUGUUUAGUGUUUUCUGCUUUGAAUCUGUGUUUGAUUUUUCGAGUGAAAUUGUAUAUACGGUUCGAUGCCACGUCGACGGUAGCCAAAGUGCCUUGACCGACGAUGCUAUGAUUGAACCGAGAUCGAAAUCUUUCGCUUUCUGAUAGGAACCUGUGGAUCCUAUUUACAAUCUGGUCCACGGAGCCGAUUUACUGCGAUUACAUCUAUUGCCGAUUUAGAAUCUGUGUUUGUUUGUUGUUUUUGAUAUCUGGGUGUUUUUGUGAUUGAAGCCUAUGAUGAUUGUAUUUUUAGUUGGAAUUACCGACUGAUGUCUUUGAUGAUAAAUUACUGGCUUUCUGAGGCUUUAGAAUCUAUAUUUCAUCUUUGACUUUCGUUUUACUAGUAUCUAGUGUUUUCUAGUUAUAUGCAAUUAGUACAAGCAAAUCUGUAGAUUAUCGUGUUCUGUGGCUGGUCGGGUAUCCGAGUUUAUAAACCUGAUGUAUAAAAGCAGGGUCCUGUUGCCUUGUAUGUGAAUUGGUCUCUCGUAAACGUCAGGGAAAUGAAAUAAAUUGCAACAUUAUUGGGUGAACCUCUGUUUGUUCUUUGUGAAUGGUGGCUCAAGGUUCAGUAAAUGAUGCAACAUUUUCAAUUACAUUUUGAUUCUAAUAUUGGAUGGAGCCGGAAUCAAGUUAAGAAUCCACAACAUAUAUUUAUGUGAUCUUUGCUCUAGUUAUGAAAUGAGGAUCUUCCAAUGAAUCACUAUAGGAUUGAAGAUUAAUGUGUGUGUGUGUGGUGCAAAUGUAACCGUUUUGAACCUAAUCCAAUGGUGUCUGUACUGAAAAUCAUUUGUAGAUGUUCUGAAGUUGAUGGAUUAUCAUUACAUUGGAAACAAGAUUUUAAUCGGAAAGCGAAAUUUUGAUCAGAACG